RNAcentral lists this ribosomal RNA (274 nucleotides) under uncultured bacterium. Its description in RNAcentral is "partial 16S ribosomal RNA". It matches the Rfam family "Bacterial small subunit ribosomal RNA", at positions 523 to 796 of the family's 1533-position model. The record is from RNAcentral.
AUACGAAGGGGGCUAGCGUUGUUCGGAAUCACUGGGCGUAAAGCGCGCGUAGGUGGAUCAAUUAGUUGAGGGUGAAAUCCCGGGGCUCAACCUCGGAACUGCCUUCAAUACUGUUGAUCUUGAGACCGAGAGAGGUGAGUGGAAUUCCUAGUGUAGAGGUGAAAUUCGUAGAUAUUAGGAAGAACACCAGUGGCGAAGGCGGCUCACUGGCUCGGUACUGACGCUAAGGCGUGAAAGCGUGGGGAGCAAACAGGAUUAGAAACCCUAGUAGUCC